This 551-nucleotide ribosomal RNA is filed under the name Corticium sp. 5263. Its description in RNAcentral is "SSU rRNA". It matches the Rfam family "Bacterial small subunit ribosomal RNA", at positions 360 to 950 of the family's 1533-position model. The record is from RNAcentral. Lineage: Eukaryota; Fungi; Basidiomycota; Agaricomycetes; Corticiales; Corticiaceae.
AAUAUUAGUCAAUGCUCGGAAGAGUGAACUAGCUAACUGAAAUCAUAUAAUUGUAUUAUGUGAUGUCGUAAGGGAAAAUAAUGAUAUUACCUUACUAAUAGUGUCGUCCAAAGCAGGUGCCAGAAGACUCGGUAAGGCCUGAGACGCAAACGUUAAUCACAAUAAACAGGCGUAAAGGGUUUGUAGGCUGCUUAGAAAAUAUAGAAAAUAAAUAGCGAAAUAAAACUAUAUCGGUAAAAGCUAGAAUCUAAUAGAGGAUAAUUAUAAUUAAAUAACAUUGGGUAGAGGAUUAACAACUGAAAACAUCUGAUGGAGUACUAAAGGCGUAAGCAUUUAUCCACUAAAGAUUGACGCUGAGAAACGAAAGUGAGGAUAGGAAAUUGGAUUAGAUACCCAGAUACCCCUCUCAGUCAACGAUGAAUGGUAAAAAUUAGUACAACUAGUUUUGAAGCUAACGCGUUAACCAUUCCGCCUUGUGAGUACAACUGCAAAGUUGAAAACAAAAAAAUUAGUCGGUCUCGGAGCAAACGAAGUGAAGUAUGUUAUUUAAU